Molecule: long non-coding RNA, 1188 nt
Filed under: Anser brachyrhynchus (Pink-footed goose)
Lineage: Eukaryota; Metazoa; Chordata; Aves; Anseriformes; Anatidae
Description: lncRNA (ENSABRG00000012829.1)
Source: RNAcentral
AUGUCUCCCACUCACUCCCAUGGACUAAUUCCUUCCCUUCCUCCCAUAUGUCUGUUCACAGAGGCAUGCUCACUGACAAAGCUGUCCAUCCCAUUGACAGCUGCUUCAGCAAAACAUGGAGCCGUUACUUACAAAAAUAAGUGGCAUGAAACAGCUAUCCAAUGUUUUCCGAUGAAAAUAAGAGGAUGUUUAAAAUAACAGUAAUUCUCCUGAAAGACUUAACAUUAUUAUUCAUACAGUACCAAGUCACAGAAUAUUCACUCUACCCAUAAAUCACACAUCACAGAGAACAGCAGUAGGACUUCAUGUUUUCCUUUCCUACCACUUCAGACCCUCUCUGAUACCACUACCCUGGUGAAAUGAUGAACACUUACAGGAAGAAAACUGCUCUACUCCCAAACCCAUUCAAUCCCUGUCAUCUUUUAGAACAUUGCAAUAGCUUGUUACAGUGACAUUUGCAAUAUGAACAGUCAUCUACAAAGGAAGAAAUCAUCAAUAUAUUUCAAGAUAUAUCCUGGAUUUAUUACGAAGUUUCAAAAUUCUGUUGACUGUCUUCUUUGUCUUUCUUCCAUUUUUUGUUUUUAAUGUCUUUUGGCUUAGAAAAAUAUCCUAGAAAUCUUACAACAUGCAGCUGGUCAAAAGUAUAUUUAAGACACUGAAUAUUCUCUAAUCAAAGCUGUGGUAAUGCUCAUCUAGCUAAAGAAUAACCCCAGUUCUCAUAUUAAAAAAUGAAACUACAUCAAUACAUCUUUUCUCCUUUCUCCACUCCAACAGUUUUCUCAUGGCAGGAAAGCAAAUGAACAACGAAAUACUGUAAAGUAUUUUGCAAAAAUCUCACAUAACUUCAUCUUGAAUCUCCCUGCUGUUCCUUAGCAGAUUGUUUCUUGGUAAACUGGGAAAGGCAGAGAUUUUUAUUUUUUAAACUAUUUUAUGCCUGCAUGAUUCUCCCCACUCCUAAAAGCCAUUAACCAUCUUCUCUGUGUCCUCUUGCAUGGCAUAAAUCAGUUAUCACUUUUUUUGUUGUUGUUUACAGCUGAAAGAAGCCAGAGACUUUCAGUCAGACAGCUACAGCAUGUCUUUAGAACAUGGAUUAGGCUACCAGACAGCAACUACACAGUACUGCUGUCCAGAGCUAACAAUUCUGUUUUUCCCUAGUAUAUUAGUAUUUUUUCCUUGAAUUCACAAUUC